RNAcentral lists this ribosomal RNA (296 nucleotides) under uncultured bacterium. RNAcentral describes it as "partial 16S ribosomal RNA". It matches the Rfam family "Bacterial small subunit ribosomal RNA", at positions 775 to 1067 of the family's 1533-position model. The record is from RNAcentral.
GGAUUAGAUACCCUGGUAGUCCACGCCGUAAACGAUGAGUGCUAGAUAUCGGGAAAUUUAUUUUUCGGUUUCGCAGCUAACGCAUUAAGCACUCCGCCUGGGGAGUACGAUCGCAAGAUUAAAACUCAAAGGAAUUGACGGGGGCUCGCACAAGUGGUGGAGCAUGCGGUUUAAUUCGAUGCUACGCGAAAAACCUUACCAACCCUUGACAUGGUGGUCGCAGAGACCAGAGAUGGACUCUUUCAGUUCGGCUGGACCACACACAGGUGUUGCAUGGCUGUCGUCAGCUCGUGUCG